CCGGGAUCAAGGAUUGGAACCAGUUGUGUUGGAGGAUCUUUUCAAGAGGAAUCCGCUUGUCUGGCUUACUUUGCAGACACGAGCAGAUCAAAUCUAUGCAUUCUGUGAAGAAAGAAGGGAGAGAUGUCAGGUCUUCAGGCUUCCAGGUUCUUUUGACAAUCUUCUGGAGCUCUUUUAGAGGCAAACGUCCAUACAGCAGGAUGAACAACAGUACUCCUAUAGAGUACACUGUUGCAGGCUUGGCGUGGAGCCUUCCACGUUUGAAAAACUCCGGAGGAGCGUAAACUCUUGUGCCUGGAAGAAAAAGCAAGGACAAAAAUUCUCCUGGACACUCUUUUGUUUUCAGUAUCGACCGUAUGAUUUGAGAAUUCAUCUUGUCACACCAAGGACAACAAUGCAAUUAAUACAGAAGGUAGGAACAUGCACUGAUGCACUCACUGAUGUUUACCUUCUCAAAAUAUUGUGGAAAACUGAUCUGGGGAAAUAAUACAGGUCCAAUAUGUUUGUUGGAUGUCAUUUUAUUACAGAACACUAUUUGUUUUACAUACCUUUUUUAAUAUUCCAAUUAUGUUACUAAAUUUGAGGAAGUGGUUUACAGUUCACUUUUAAAAUCAUAAAUACAGUUGAAGUCAGAAUUAUUUGAGGUACUCCAAUAUUGUUAGAACGCACAGAUGACUACACCCCAUUGGCCCUCACACAUUGCUGUCUCCCAAUCAAUUAGAUUUUAAAUACAGUAGAGGACUAAUUGAGUUAUUUUCCCUUUAGAUCAGAUUUAAUAUUUCAGAAGGCCAGUUCACAUUAGUGAUCAGCAGGUACUUAUUUUUGCCAAAUUAACACGAGUUUGCUGGGUUUAGAAAUGAACAUGAAAGCAGGAAAAAAUUGCUAACAAACAGAAAGAGUACACUGAAUAUGUUUCUCGUCUAUACACAUACUUUAUUAAGAAUUAUACAUAUUUUACAGAAGAAAUCUAGUCGAG
This is a non-coding RNA of Danio rerio (zebrafish), 976 nucleotides long. The record is from RefSeq and is a predicted model, not a curated record. Lineage: Eukaryota; Metazoa; Chordata; Actinopteri; Cypriniformes; Danionidae.